RNAcentral lists this ribosomal RNA (272 nucleotides) under uncultured prokaryote. Its description in RNAcentral is "partial 16S ribosomal RNA". It matches the Rfam family "Bacterial small subunit ribosomal RNA", at positions 524 to 796 of the family's 1533-position model. The record is from RNAcentral.
UACGUAGGAUGCAAGCGUUGUCCGGAAUUACUGGGCGUAAAGGGCGAGCAGGUGGCAUUACAAGUCUGAUGUGAAAUCUCCCGGCUUAACUGGGAGGGGCCAUUGGAAACUGUAGAGCUGGAGUGCAGGAGAGGCUAACGGAAUUCCCGGUGUAGUGGUGAAAUGCGUAGAUAUCGGGAGGAACACCAGUGGCGAAGGCGGUUAGCUGGCCUGUAACUGACACUGAGGCGCGAAGGCUAGGGGAGCGAACAGGAUUAGAAACCUGGUAGUCC